UAAGCGUGAUGAUGGUGGCUUUUGCCUAGUCUAGCUUAGAUGUUAAAUCAUC
This is a non-coding RNA of Lactobacillus johnsonii NCC 533, 52 nucleotides long. The record is from Rfam. Lineage: Bacteria; Bacillati; Bacillota; Bacilli; Lactobacillales; Lactobacillaceae.